AAGAGCAGCAGCCUCUUGAGACCCUGUAGGAGGCAGUGCGGGAAGUCCUGGACAGGAACCAGUGCAAGUGCCAGAAACUUUUGGGAACAGUGGAGCUACAGAUCAGCUUGAAGAACUCUGACCCUCAGAAGGAUGAACGCUUCUUGGGCACUGUCAUCUGAAGUCCACUCGCCGCCCCAGGUUCUCCACGUGUGUCCUGGGGGACCAGCAGCACAGGGUUGAGGCCAAGCCUGUGGGUAUCUCCUACGUGGACAUCGAGGUGCUGAAGAAACUCGACAGGAACAAGAAGCUGCUCAACAAGUAUGAUGCCUUUCUGGCCUCAGGGUCUCUGAUCAAGCAGAUCCCACAAAUCCUGGGCCCAGGCCUAAAUAAGGAAGGCAGGUUCCCUUCCCUGCUGAUGUACAGUGAAGACAUGGUGGCCAAAGUUGAUGAGGGGAAGUCCACAAUCAAGUUCCAGGUGAAGAAGGGGCUCUGUCUGGCAUGGCUCUUGGUCGUGUCAAGAUGACAGAUGAUGAGCUUGUGUACAACGUCCAUCUGGCUGUCAACUUCCUGGUAUCAUUGCUCAGGAAGAAUUGGCAGAACAUCUGGGCUUUACACAUCAAGAACACCAUAGGCAAGCCCCAGUGCCUGUAUUAA
This 636-nucleotide long non-coding RNA is filed under the name Homo sapiens (human). RNAcentral's name for it is "non-protein coding lnc-EGR1-2:1". Lineage: Eukaryota; Metazoa; Chordata; Mammalia; Primates; Hominidae. The record is from RNAcentral.